AACGAACGCUGGUGGCAUGCCUUAUACAUGCAAGUCGAACGAGAAAGCACUUCGGUGUGAGUACAGUGGCGCACGGGUGAGUAACGCGUAGAUGACGUGCCUUUUAGUGGGGGACAACAUCGGGAAACCGGUGCUAAUACCGCAUAAGUUAAGUGAAAUUGAAAAAGCUUAAGAAAGGGGGCCUUUGGCUCUCGCUGAAAGAUUGGUCUGCGUAGCAUUAGCUUGUUGGUGGGGUAAUGGCCUACCAAGGCGACGAUGCUUAACUGGUCUGAGAGGAUGAUCAGUCACACUGGAACUGAGACACGGUCCAG
Molecule: ribosomal RNA, 311 nt
Filed under: uncultured bacterium
Lineage: Bacteria
Description: bacterial SSU rRNA
Rfam family: Bacterial small subunit ribosomal RNA
Source: RNAcentral